UUUGAAACCUGUUGGAGUAAUGAAAGCAGGAAAUGGGAACAGAGGAAGGAUUUGCUAUGGAAUCAGUUAUUUCAAGGAUCACCAGCAACAGCAAACUAGGAUAUUAGGCUUGUGAGGUCCCAGGCCCUGUGGGAGUCACAGGUUACCAUGCAGACAUGGCCAAGUCCAAGAACCACACCACACACAACCAGUCCCACAAAUGGCACAGAAAUGUCAUCAAGUAAUCCUGGUCACAAGGAUACGAAUCUCUUAAGGGGGUUGACCCCAAGUUCCUGAGGAACAUGCUCUUUUCCAAGAAGCACAAGAAAGAUCUGAAGAAAAUGCAGGCCAACAAUACAAAGGCAGUGAGUGCAUGGGCAGAGGCCAUCAUGGCCCUCGUGAAGCCUCAGGCCAUCAAGCCCAAGAUGUCAAAGGGCCCCCAGCCACAAACUCAGCUGUCUGGCUUUCAUCAAUCACCCCAAGCUUGGAAAGCAAAUUUGAAGCUACAUGGCCAAUGGUUGUAGACUCUGCCAACCAAAGUCCAAGGUUCAGGCUGAGGCAGAGGCCAAAGCUUCAGUUAAGGCCCAGGCUUCAGCUCCAGCUCAGGCUCCCAAAGGUGCUCAGGCCCCUGUGAAGGCCCCAAAGAAAAGGUUCCUGCCAGU
Long non-coding RNA from Mus musculus (house mouse), 641 nucleotides. RefSeq annotates it as predicted gene 15212. The transcript is spliced from 3 exons. Lineage: Eukaryota; Metazoa; Chordata; Mammalia; Rodentia; Muridae. The record is from RefSeq and is a predicted model, not a curated record.